RNAcentral lists this ribosomal RNA (468 nucleotides) under uncultured bacterium. RNAcentral's name for it is "partial 16S ribosomal RNA". It matches the Rfam family "Bacterial small subunit ribosomal RNA", at positions 28 to 507 of the family's 1533-position model. The record is from RNAcentral.
GACGAACGCUGGCGGCGUGCUUAACACAUGCAAGUCGAACGGAAAGGCCCUGCUGUUGUGGGGUGCUCGAGUAGCGAACGGGUGAGUAACACGUGAGUAACCUGCCCUUGACUUUGGGAUAACUUCAGGAAACUUGGGCUAAUACCCGAUAGGAGCUCCUGCUGCAUGGUGGGGGUUGGAAAGUUUCGGCGGUUGGGGAUGGACUCGCGGCUUAUCAGCUUGUUGGUGGGGUAGUGGCUUACCAAGGCUUUGACGGGUAGCCGGCAUGAGAGGGUGACCGGCCACAUGGGGACUGAGAGACGGCCCAGACUCCUACGUGAGGCAGCAGUGGAGAAUAUUGCACAAUGGGCGGAAGCCUAAUGCAGCAACGCCGCGUGCGGAAUGACGGCCUUCGGGUAGUAAACCGCUUUCGCCUGUGACGAAGCGUGAGUGACGGUAAUGGGUGAAGAAGCACCGGCUAACUACGUG